CGCCUUGUCAUCUUUAUAUCUCCACCUGUGCACUUUUUGUAGACCUCUUUUAAAAAGAGGUCUACGUUGCUUCAUUUUACCUCAAUUGUAUGUCAAUAGAAUGUUGUGCCUAUAUAAUAUAUACAACUUUCAGCAACGGAUCUCUUGGCUCUCGCAUCGAUGAAGAACGCAGCGAAAUGCGAUAAGUAAUGUGAAUUGCAGAAUUCAGUGAAUCAUCGAAUCUUUGAACGCACCUUGCGCUCCUUGGUAUUCCGAGGAGCAUGCCUGUUUGAGUGUCAUUAAUAUAAUCUCAAUCCUUUUCUUUUUUGAAAAGGUUUGGAUGUGGGGGUUUGCUGGCCUCUUCAAAAAGUUCAGCUCCCCUGAAAUGCAUUAGCAGAACAACCUUGCUCAUUGGUGUGAUAACUAUCUACGCUUAUGAAUGUGAGGGAACAGUUCAGCUUUCUAACAGUCUUCGGACAAUUCAUCAUUAAUGUGACCUCAAAUCAGGUAGGACUACCCGCUGAACUUAAGCAUAUCAAUA
RNAcentral lists this ribosomal RNA (520 nucleotides) under uncultured Cortinarius. RNAcentral's name for it is "eukaryotic LSU rRNA". The stretch from base 125 to 278 matches the Rfam family "5.8S ribosomal RNA". Lineage: Eukaryota; Fungi; Basidiomycota; Agaricomycetes; Agaricales; Cortinariaceae. The record is from RNAcentral.